CAGAAAACCCCCGACGUCCUUGCAAGCCUCUAAAAAUCACAGGCCUGGACCUCACCCCUGUAAACUGUACAUCUCAACAAGGCAUUUCUUUGGAGCAUCCUCCAUGCCAGCCAUCCCAAGCCAGUAAGUAAGUCU
Pteropus alecto (black flying fox) is the source of this 135-nucleotide long non-coding RNA. RefSeq lists it as uncharacterized. NCBI's taxonomy places the organism in Eukaryota, Metazoa, Chordata, Mammalia, Chiroptera, Pteropodidae. The record is from RefSeq and is a predicted model, not a curated record. The transcript is spliced from 3 exons.